CCUAAAUCUAAAAAUAUUUCCUAUUUUUUCUCUGACUUAUUUGAUUACUUGUCAAUGAUAGUCAUAAAAUUAAAAUAUUUCCUAGUUUUGCUGACUUAUGUUACUACCUGUCAGUACUGCUUACUUUUUUAACUCCUAAACAUAAAAAUAUUUCCUAUUUCUGCCGACUUAUCUGAUUACUUAUCAGUGAUAGUCACAAAGUUAAAAUAUUUCCUAUUUUCGCUGACUUAUGUUACUAUCUGACAUUAAGAAAGCUCUUAAAACUAUCCUUUUUUGCAUUAUAAUCCUACUGCCUUAAAAUUCCAACUUUCUCACACAUGAGGAGGGAAUCCUGGCUAAAUGGCUUGAGGAAAACGUUAGACGAGAAACUAUCUGACCCUGAAUUCCUGAGCCGGUUGAGACAAGGAAUCGCUCGAUCGCUGACAUGCGGUUCUACAUCUCGGCAGAUCUCAGAUUUGCAAGUUACAACGCAGAUAAUUACGGUAAAAAAGAUUAUAUAAGAAUUAACAUGAUGCAGUGGGAAUACGCGCAAACCUUGUUCUAUGGCAGUGUGCUUUAUAUACAUUUUCUCUUUCUGAAGUCAAGAAAGUUAAUUAAAUUAGGAUUGAAAAUUUUCCACUAGUCUCACCCAGCUAUGUCUAUGUAAUAUUCCAAGAAUCUGUACCGUACGACUGAAAUCUAAAAUUAAAAUUAAAAAAAUUCUUUUACGGCCAAAGUCUUAUUUAAUUAGUCUCUGACUUUUGAAAGUUUAAUCUGGAAUAUCAAAUCUCUGAAAUUAAGACUUGAAAUUAUGCAACAUCAAGUAUAUGCAAUUUAAAUAUCACUCUUCUGAAAGUAAGACUUGUAGCUAUGUAAUAUUAAGUAUAUGCAAUUUAAAUACUUUGUUUGAGUGCCCUUUUAUACGGCCUAAAUCCCAAGUCUGGAACUCCAAUGAUUCUCGAAAUUCUGGAAUUAAAACUUUAUCAACAUAUUAUAUUUUAAAUCCCAAGAGCCUUAGUAUCAAAGGGAAAUAUAUGAACUUUCUCUUCCUCAUUCAUAAUUGUUUUCUAUACCUGGUUAAACUGAUACCUGGAGGAUAAAUGAGCGGCGAAACUCAGAGGAUCUGGUGGAUCCCAUAGCUUCACCUCUCAGCGGAAAAUAACGUUAAACCUGGAGGACGAAUGAGCGAUGAACCUCAGAGAACCUAGCGGAUCCAACAGCUUCAUCACUCAGCACAUAAUAACGUCUGUGGAAACUGUAACGCCUCCUGAACCGUCAAACCUCACCGCCGAGAAAUCAUGAUGUCUCAA
Eurytemora carolleeae is the source of this 1289-nucleotide long non-coding RNA. RefSeq lists it as uncharacterized. The transcript has 2 exons. Lineage: Eukaryota; Metazoa; Arthropoda; Copepoda; Calanoida; Temoridae. The record is from RefSeq and is a predicted model, not a curated record.